Molecule: non-coding RNA, 45 nt
Filed under: Schistosoma mansoni
Lineage: Eukaryota; Metazoa; Platyhelminthes; Trematoda; Strigeidida; Schistosomatidae
Source: RNAcentral
AUCCAGUUGACGAGUCCAAAAUAGUGCGAAACGCGCGUUGUGGAU